RNAcentral lists this ribosomal RNA (448 nucleotides) under uncultured bacterium. Its description in RNAcentral is "bacterial SSU rRNA". It matches the Rfam family "Bacterial small subunit ribosomal RNA", at positions 328 to 793 of the family's 1533-position model. The record is from RNAcentral.
GCAGAGCACUCCUACGGGAGGCAGCAGUGGGGAAUCUUGCGCAAUGGGCGAAAGCCUGACGCAGCCAUGCCGCGUGAAUGAUGAAGGUCUUAGGAUUGUAAAAUUCUUUCACCGGGGACGAUAAUGACGGUACCCGGAGAAGAAGCCCCGGCUAACUUCGUGCCAGCAGCCGCGGUAAUACGAAGGGGGCUAGCGUUGCUCGGAAUUACUGGGCGUAAAGGGAGCGUAGGCGGACUGUUUAGUCAGAGGUGAAAGCCCAGGGCUCAACCUUGGAAUUGCCUUUGAUACUGGCAGUCUUGAGUACGGAAGAGGUAUGUGGAACUCCGAGUGUAGAGGUGAAAUUCGUAGAUAUUCGGAAGAACACCAGUGGCGAAGGCGACAUACUGGUCCGUUACUGACGCUGAGGCUCGAAAGCGUGGGGAGCAAACAGGAUUAGAUACCCUGGUAG